Molecule: long non-coding RNA, 365 nt
Organism: Polypterus senegalus (gray bichir)
Lineage: Eukaryota; Metazoa; Chordata; Cladistia; Polypteriformes; Polypteridae
Exons: 3
Source: RefSeq, a predicted model, not a curated record
GUACAUUGUGAUAGGACAUCAUUGGCUUCUAUUUGAGUCCAGAGAAAAUCCUAGAAUGCAUUAAGAACAGAAGAUUGAUGCCUGCCUCAUCACUGAUAUCACUUUCUGGACUGGCCUCUUCCUGCCUGGGCUCCAUAUAACCAGAUGUUCUGCCAUUUUCAACCAGCCGAAGAACCUGCUUCCCAAUGACAUCACCACAAGUCCAGCCCCUGUUGACAUCAUCUCCGGCACUCUUUGAUGAUAUCAUAUUCAAUACCCAAAACCACUCUUCUUCCACUUCAGUUCCUGUUCAAGUCUCCCUUACUCCACCUCUUCUUCCGUACAGCCAUAUUUAUAGAACAGCUUUUCAACCUGUUAGCUGUUGU